GACGAACGCUGGCGGCGCGCCUAACACAUGCAAGUCGAACGAGCGAGAGGAAGCUUGCUUCCUUAAUCGAGUGGCGAACGGGUGAGUAACGCGUGAGGAACCUGCCUCAAAGAGGGGGACAACAGUUGGAAACGACUGCUAAUACCGCAUAAGCCCACAGCUCGGCAUCGAGCAGAGGGAAAAGGAGCGAUCCGCUUUGAGAUGGCCUCGCGUCCGAUUAGCUAGUUGGUGAGGUAACGGCCCACCAAGGCGACGAUCGGUAGCCGGACUGAGAGGUUGAACGGCCACAUUGGGACUGAGACACGGCCCAGACUCCUACGGGAGGCAGCAGUGGGGAAUAUUGCACAAUGGGGGAAACCCUGAUGCAGCGACGCCGCGUGGAGGAAGAAGGUCUUCGGAUUGUAAACUCCUGUUGUUGAGGAAGAUAAUGACGGUACUCAACAAGGAAGUGACGGCUAACUACGUGCCAGCAGCCGCGGUAAAACGUAGGUCACAAGCGUUGUCCGGAAUUACUGGGUGUAAAGGGAGCGCAGGCGGGAAGACAAGUUGGAAGUGAAAUCUAUGGGCUCAACCCAUAAACUGCUUUCAAAACUGUUUUUCUUGAGUAGUGCAGAGGUAGGCGGAAUUCCCGGUGUAGCGGUGGAAUGCGUAGAUAUCGGGAGGAACACCAGUGGCGAAGGCGGCCUACUGGGCACCAACUGACGCUGAGGCUCGAAAGCAUGGGUAGCGAACAGG
This 735-nucleotide ribosomal RNA is filed under the name uncultured bacterium. RNAcentral's name for it is "bacterial SSU rRNA". It matches the Rfam family "Bacterial small subunit ribosomal RNA", at positions 28 to 776 of the family's 1533-position model. The record is from RNAcentral.